RNAcentral lists this ribosomal RNA (1759 nucleotides) under Escherichia coli. Its description in RNAcentral is "partial 23S ribosomal RNA". It matches the Rfam family "Bacterial large subunit ribosomal RNA", at positions 1054 to 2797 of the family's 2925-position model. RNAcentral also lists the same sequence under 3 other names. Lineage: Bacteria; Pseudomonadati; Pseudomonadota; Gammaproteobacteria; Enterobacterales; Enterobacteriaceae. The record is from RNAcentral.
CAUGGUUAAGUGGGAAACGAUGUGGGAAGGCCCAGACAGCCAGGAUGUUGGCUUAGAAGCAGCCAUCAUUUAAAGAAAGCGUAAUAGCUCACUGGUCGAGUCGGCCUGCGCGGAAGAUGUAACGGGGCUAAACCAUGCACCGAAGCUGCGGCAGCGACGCUUAUGCGUUGUUGGGUAGGGGAGCGUUCUGUAAGCCUGUGAAGGUGUGCUGUGAGGUAUGCUGGAGGUAUCAGAAGUGCGAAUGCUGACAUAAGUAACGAUAAAGCGGGUGAAAAGCCCGCUCGCCGGAAGACCAAGGGUUCCUGUCCAACGUUAAUCGGGGCAGGGUGAGUCGACCCCUAAGGCGAGGCCGAAAGGCGUAGUCGAUGGGAAACAGGUUAAUAUUCCUGUACUUGGUGUUACUGCGAAGGGGGGACGGAGAAGGCUAUGUUGGCCGGGCGACGGUUGUCCCGGUUUAAGCGUGUAGGCUGGUUUUCCAGGCAAAUCCGGAAAAUCAAGGCCGAGGCGUGAUGACGAGGCACUACGGUGCUGAAGCAACAAAUGCCCUGCUUCCAGGAAAAGCCUCUAAGCAUCAGGUAACAUCAAAUCGUACCCCAAACCGACACAGGUGGUCAGGUAGAGAAUACCAAGGCGCUUGAGAGAACUCGGGUGAAGGAACUAGGCAAAAUGGUGCCGUAACUUCGGGAGAAGGCACGCUGAUACGUAGGUGAAGCGACUUGCUCGUGGAGCUGAAAUCAGUCGAAGAUACCAGCUGGCUGCAACUGUUUAUUAAAAACACAGCACUGUGCAAACACGAAAGUGGACGUAUACGGUGUGACGCCUGCCCGGUGCCGGAAGGUUAAUUGAUGGGGUUAGCGCAAGCGAAGCUCUUGAUCGAAGCCCCGGUAAACGGCGGCCGUAACUAUAACGGUCCUAAGGUAGCGAAAUUCCUUGUCGGGUAAGUUCCGACCUGCACGAAUGGCGUAAUGAUGGCCAGGCUGUCUCCACCCGAGACUCAGUGAAAUUGAACUCGCUGUGAAGAUGCAGUGUACCCGCGGCAAGACGGAAAGACCCCGUGAACCUUUACUAUAGCUUGACACUGAACAUUGAGCCUUGAUGUGUAGGAUAGGUGGGAGGCUUUGAAGUGUGGACGCCAGUCUGCAUGGAGCCGACCUUGAAAUACCACCCUUUAAUGUUUGAUGUUCUAACGUGGACCCGUGAUCCGGGUUGCGGACAGUGUCUGGUGGGUAGUUUGACUGGGGCGGUCUCCUCCUAAAGAGUAACGGAGGAGCACGAAGGUUGGCUAAUCCUGGUCGGACAUCAGGAGGUUAGUGCAAUGGCAUAAGCCAGCUUGACUGCGAGCGUGACGGCGCGAGCAGGUGCGAAAGCAGGUCAUAGUGAUCCGGUGGUUCUGAAUGGAAGGGCCAUCGCUCAACGGAUAAAAGGUACUCCGGGGAUAACAGGCUGAUACCGCCCAAGAGUUCAUAUCGACGGCGGUGUUUGGCACCUCGAUGUCGGCUCAUCACAUCCUGGGGCUGAAGUAGGUCCCAAGGGUAUGGCUGUUCGCCAUUUAAAGUGGUACGCGAGCUGGGUUUAGAACGUCGUGAGACAGUUCGGUCCCUAUCUGCCGUGGGCGCUGGAGAACUGAGGGGGGCUGCUCCUAGUACGAGAGGACCGGAGUGGACGCAUCACUGGUGUUCGGGUUGUCAUGCCAAUGGCACUGCCCGGUAGCUAAAUGCGGAAGAGAUAAGUGCUGAAAGCAUCUAAGCACGAAACUUGC